GAUGAAGAACGCAGCGAAGUGCGAUAAGUAGUGUGAAUUGCAGAAUUCAGUGAAUCAUCGAAUCUUUGAACGCACAUUGCGCCCUUUGGUAUUCCUUAGGGCAUGCCUGUUCGAGCGUCAUUUAAACCUUCAAGCUAAGCUUGGUGUUGGGUGACUGUCCGCUUCACGGCGGACUCGCCUCAAAAUUAUUGGCGGCCGGUACAUUGGCUUCGAGCGCAGCAGAAACGCGAACUCGGGCCCGUCGUAUUGGCUCCCAGAAGCUAUCUUCACAAUUUUGACCUCGGAUCAGGUAGGGAUACCCGCUGAACUUAAGCAUAUCAAUAAGCGGAGGA
Molecule: unclassified non-coding RNA, 332 nt
Filed under: soil metagenome
Description: partial contains 5.8S ribosomal RNA, internal transcribed spacer 2, and large subunit ribosomal RNA
Rfam family: 5.8S ribosomal RNA (bases 1-120)
Source: RNAcentral